AAAGUCGUAACAAGGUUUCCGUAGGUGAACCUGCGGAAGGAUCAUUAUCAAUCCAAACUAAAAACCACUGUGAACUGGCUGAAGUACUUGGGCAAGUUCAUUUGGGGAGCAUUUUCUUUGUGAGUGUGUGUGCUUGUCACAAGACUCUGAAGAUUAUAGCUCUUCUUACCCUUGCCCAACAGUAUUAACCACAAUUAAAUUGUUAUGUUGAACUGCUGAUUUGUUGCUCUUGCGACUUAUCUGCUACAAAUAAAACCAAAGAUUACAACUUUUAGCGGUGGAUCUCUUGGCUCAU
Molecule: unclassified non-coding RNA, 295 nt
Filed under: Basidiomycota sp.
Lineage: Eukaryota; Fungi; Basidiomycota
Description: partial contains small subunit ribosomal RNA, internal transcribed spacer 1, and 5.8S ribosomal RNA
Rfam family: Eukaryotic small subunit ribosomal RNA (bases 1-47)
Source: RNAcentral